This 497-nucleotide ribosomal RNA is filed under the name uncultured bacterium. RNAcentral describes it as "partial 16S ribosomal RNA". It matches the Rfam family "Bacterial small subunit ribosomal RNA", at positions 28 to 507 of the family's 1533-position model. The record is from RNAcentral.
GAUGAACGCUGGCGGCUUUCCUCAUACAUUCACGUCGAGCGCACAGACGAGGAGCUUGCUCCUCUGACGUUAGCGGCGGACGGGUGAGUAACACGUGGAUAACCUACCUAUAAGACUGGGAUAACUUCGGGAAACCGGAGCUAAUACCGGAUAAUAUAUUGAACCGCAUGGUUCAAUAGUGAAAGACGGUUUUGCUGUCACUUAUAGAUGGAUCCGCGCCGCAUUAGCUAGUUGGUAAGGUAACGGCUUACCAAGGCAACGAUGCGUAGCCGACCUGAGAGGGGGAUAGGCCACAAGGGAACUGAGAAACGGUCCAGACUCAUACGGGAGGCAGCAGUAGGGAAUCUUCCGCAAUGGGCGAAAGCUUGACGGAGCAACGCCGCGUGAGUGAUGAAGGUCUUCGGAUCGUAAAAAUAGGUGAUUAGGGAAGAACAAAUGUGUAAGUAACUAUGCACGUCUUGACGGUACCUAAUCAGAAAGCCAAGGCUAACUACGGG